RNAcentral lists this ribosomal RNA (849 nucleotides) under Escherichia coli. RNAcentral describes it as "partial 23S ribosomal RNA". It matches the Rfam family "Bacterial large subunit ribosomal RNA", at positions 180 to 1068 of the family's 2925-position model. The record is from RNAcentral. Lineage: Bacteria; Pseudomonadati; Pseudomonadota; Gammaproteobacteria; Enterobacterales; Enterobacteriaceae.
CGAACCGGGGGAACUGAAACAUCUAAGUACCCCGAGGAAAAGAAAUCAACCGAGAUUCCCCCAGUAGCGGCGAGCGAACGGGGAGCAGCCCAGAGCCUGAAUCAGUAUGUGUGUUAGUGGAAGCGUCUGGAAAGGCGCGCGAUACAGGGUGACAGCCCCGUACACAAAAAUGCACAUGCUGUGAGCUCGAUGAGUAGGGCGGGACACGUGGUAUCCUGUCUGAAUAUGGGGGGACCAUCCUCCAAGGCUAAAUACUCCUGACUGACCGAUAGUGAACCAGUACCGUGAGGGAAAGGCGAAAAGAACCCCGGCGAGGGGAGUGAAAAAGAACCUGAAACCGUGUACGUACAAGCAGUGGGAGCACGCUUAGGCGUGUGACUGCGUACCUUUUGUAUAAUGGGUCAGCGACUUAUAUUCUGUAGCAAGGUUAACCGAAUAGGGGAGCCGAAGGGAAACCGAGUCUUAACUGGGCGUUAAGUUGCAGGGUAUAGACCCGAAACCCGGUGAUCUAGCCAUGGGCAGGUUGAAGGUUGGGUAACACUAACUGGAGGACCGAACCGACUAAUGUUGAAAAAUUAGCGGAUGACUUGUGGCUGGGGGUGAAAGGCCAAUCAAACCGGGAGAUAGCUGGUUCUCCCCGAAAGCUAUUUAGGUAGCGCCUCGUGAAUUCAUCUCCGGGGGUAGAGCACUGUUUCGGCAAGGGGGUCAUCCCGACUUACCAACCCGAUGCAAACUGCGAAUACCGGAGAAUGUUAUCACGGGAGACACACGGCGGGUGCUAACGUCCGUCGUGAAGAGGGAAACAACCCAGACCGCCAGCUAAGGUCCCAAAGUCAUGGUUAAGUGGGA